This 253-nucleotide ribosomal RNA is filed under the name uncultured bacterium. RNAcentral's name for it is "partial 16S ribosomal RNA". It matches the Rfam family "Bacterial small subunit ribosomal RNA", at positions 524 to 776 of the family's 1533-position model. The record is from RNAcentral.
UACGUAGGAUGCAAGCGUUGUCCGGAAUUAUUGGGCGUAAAGAGCGCGCAGGCGGUCUAUCAAGUCAGAUGUGAAAUCUCCCGGCUUAACCGGGAGGGGUCAUUUGAAACUGGUAGACUAGAGUACAGCAGAGGAUAGUGGAAUUCCCGGUGUAGUGGUGAAAUGCGUAGAUAUCGGGAGGAACACCAGUGGCGAAGGCGGCUAUCUGGGCUGAAACUGACGCUGAGGCGCGAAGGCUAGGGGAGCAAACAGG